RNAcentral lists this ribosomal RNA (730 nucleotides) under bacterium SCSIO13291. Its description in RNAcentral is "bacterial SSU rRNA". It matches the Rfam family "Bacterial small subunit ribosomal RNA", at positions 82 to 828 of the family's 1533-position model. The record is from RNAcentral.
UUCGGGGUGGUUAGUGGCGAACGGGUGAGUAACACGUGAGCAACCUGCCCUUCACCCUGGGAUAACUGUGGGAAACUUCAGCUAAUACCGGAUAUUACCUGUCACUGCAUGGUGGUGGGUGGAAAGAUUUUUUGGUGGGGGAUGGGCUCGCGGCCUAUCAGCUUGUUGGUGGGGUGAUGGCCUACCAAGGCUUUGACGGGUAGCCGGCCUGAGAGGGCGACCGGCCACACUGGGACUGAGAUACGGCCCAGACUCCUACGGGAGGCAGCAGUGGGGAAUUUUGCACAAUGGACGGAAGUCUGAUGCAGCAACGCCGCGUGCGGGAUGAAGGCCUUCGGGUUGUAAACCGCUUUCACCGCCGACGAAUUGAAGACGGUAGGCGGAGAAGAAGCACCGGCUAACUACGUGCCAGCAGCCGCGGUGAUACGUAGGGUGCGAGCGUUGUCCGGAUUUAUUGGGCGUAAAGAGCUCGUAGGUGGUUUGUUGCGUCGGGAGUGAAAACACGCCGCUUAACGGUGUGCUUGCUUUCGAUACGGGCAGACUUGAGGAAGGUAGGGGAGAACGGAAUUCCUGGUGGAGCGGUGGAAUGCGCAGAUAUCAGGAGGAACACCAGUGGCGAAGGCGGUUCUCUGGACCUUUCCUGACGCUGAGGAGCGAAAGCGUGGGGAGCAAACAGGCUUAGAUACCCUGGGUAGUCCACGCCGUAAACGGUGGGCACUAGGUGUGGGGA